UGCUCUUACUGAAUUGUUGUGAUUUGCUAAGCCUGUGAUCAGCAAAAUGAUAGAAUGGAAACCUUUCCAAACAGCAUCGAUUACAAAUAAUCAUGACUUGGGUGGAAGCCUAUAGAUGUGCUGUCCUCUGAGGCAACCUGGAGUCAUGAAAACGACACUCCUAAAAUAACUUAUCAAAUACUAUUACAUGUUAUGAACAGAAUCUUAACACUAUCUGCUUUCAGAAAAUGAGUUUUGAUACUGACACUUCAGAGGGGCUUUCCUGCUGCUUUGCUCUGCUCAAAAGAUGAAGCCUUCUCACACUUGGUACUGAAUUUGUGCAAGAGUGCUGUCUGUGUACAUGAUGAGGUUG
RNAcentral lists this long non-coding RNA (352 nucleotides) under Bos taurus (domestic cattle). RNAcentral's name for it is "long non-coding RNA NONBTAT002709". The record is from RNAcentral. Lineage: Eukaryota; Metazoa; Chordata; Mammalia; Artiodactyla; Bovidae.